Long non-coding RNA from Melospiza melodia melodia, 990 nucleotides. RefSeq lists it as uncharacterized. The record is from RefSeq and is a predicted model, not a curated record. The transcript has 2 exons. Lineage: Eukaryota; Metazoa; Chordata; Aves; Passeriformes; Passerellidae.
AGAGCGGCCUCGCCGCACCAUAGAGAGAGAACCAGCGGGGGCGGGACCGGGCCACGGCCGGGCUCGGAGCGGGAACCGUGAGGGGAAAGCAUGGCGGGAGAGCCGGGACGGGGAACGGGAAGGGGGAAGAGGAGCGGGAGCUAUGGCGGGACGUCAGUGUGAGAGGCCUGAGGCGGAACCAUGGCGGGACCCCUGAGGGGAAACCAUGGCGGGACCCCUGAGGGGAAAUCAUGGCGGCACCCCUGAGGGGAAACCACGGCGGGACCCCUGAGGGGAAACCGGAUCGGGAUUCCUGAGGAGAAAUCAUGGCCGGACCCCUGAGGGGAAACCGGAUCGGGAUUUCUGAGGGGGAAUCAUGGCGAGACCCCUGAGGGGAAACCGGAGAGGGAUCCCUGAGGAGGAAACCAUGGCGGAACCCCUGAGGGGAAACCGGAGAGGGACCAAUGGCGGCACCUCUGAGGGGAAACCAUGGCGGCCUUCCUGAGGGGGAAUCAUGGCGGGACCCCUGAGGGGAAAGCGGAGAGGGAUUCCUGAGGGGAAAACCAUGGCGGAAUUCCUGAGGGGAAACCGGAGAAGAAGCCCUGAGGGGGAAUCAUGGCGGGAUCCCUGAAGGGGAACCGGAGACAGGGCCCUGACCGGGAUCCAUGAGGGAGAAUCAUGGCGGGACCCCACAGGGACCCUAAAAAAAGCCGAAUUCGCCGUUUCCCUUCCCGCUUUUUCCAUCCCGGCGCUAGGACCGAGCCCGAGGGCGGCCAUACCACGUCCGGUGUCCUUCCCAUUUCCGUUGCCGGAACUUUUUUUGCCACUUUUUCCCAUCUCGAGCCCCGUUGGAAGUUCCGGAGCUUCUCCCUCACGGAUCCGCCGCCAUCUUGGAGCUCGUGUGGAGAUUAAAUCAUUUCCGCUUUUUUUUUGUGUGUUUUAUUCCGGGUGUUGUUGAUAUUUAUUGUAAAUAUUUGUGUUGAUAAAAUGUUUAUGUUUUUCUCCUUUUUA